This 305-nucleotide ribosomal RNA is filed under the name uncultured bacterium. Its description in RNAcentral is "bacterial SSU rRNA". It matches the Rfam family "Bacterial small subunit ribosomal RNA", at positions 337 to 660 of the family's 1533-position model. The record is from RNAcentral.
GCCUACGGGGCGCAGCAGUGGGGAAUAUUGCACAAUGGGGGGAAUCCUGAUGCAGCGACGCCGCGUGAGUGAAGAAGUAUUUCGGUAUGUAAAGCUCUAUCAGCAGGGAAGAAGAUGACGGUACUUGAAGAAAAAGCAUCGGCUAACUCCGUGCCAGCAGCCGCGGUAAUACGGAGGAUGCGAGCGUUAUCCGGAUUUAUUGGGUUUAAAGGGUGCGUAGGCGGGCUGUUAAGUCAGCGGUAAAAGCCCGGGGCUCAACCCCGGCGAGCCGUUGAAACUGGCUGUCUUGAGAUGUCGCGAGGGAG